Ornithorhynchus anatinus (platypus) is the source of this 137-nucleotide non-coding RNA. NCBI's taxonomy places the organism in Eukaryota, Metazoa, Chordata, Mammalia, Monotremata, Ornithorhynchidae. The record is from Rfam.
CCCCUUUCAGGGUCACACCUGGAGAGUUUCCAGUACUCUACCAGUCUUGACUAUGGGAGGGAGUGUCAAGCAGAGCCUACCAAUUCCAUUCUUAGCUUGGGCAGUGGCUAGCGAGUGGAAGGCAAUUUGCUACAAGU